This 275-nucleotide ribosomal RNA is filed under the name uncultured bacterium. RNAcentral describes it as "partial 16S ribosomal RNA". It matches the Rfam family "Bacterial small subunit ribosomal RNA", at positions 338 to 604 of the family's 1533-position model. The record is from RNAcentral.
CCUACGGGUGGCUGCAGUGGGGAAUAUUGGGCAAUGGGCGCAAGCCUGACCCAGCCAUGCCGCGUGAGUGAUGAAGGCCUUCGGGUCGUAAAGCUCUGUGGGGAGGGAAGAAACAGCUUGUGGCUAAUAUCCACGAGCCCUGACGGUACCUCCUUAGCAAGCACCGGCUAACUCCGUGCCAGCAGCCGCGGUAAUACGGAGGGUGCAAACGUUGCUCGGAAUCAUUGGGCGUAAAGCGCACGUAGGCGGCCUGUUAAGUCGGGUGUGAAAUCCCU